UACGUAGGUGGCGAGCGUUGUCCGGAAUUACUGGGCGUAAAGGGCGCGUAGGCGGUUUUUUAAGUUAGAUGUGAAAACCCAGGGCUUAACUUUGGGCGUGCAUUUAAAACUGGAGAACUUGAGUGCAGGAGAGGUAAGUGGAAUUCCUAGUGUAGCGGUGAAAUGCGUAGAUAUUAGGAGGAACACCAGUGGCGAAGGCGACUUACUGGACUGUAACUGACGCUGAGGCGCGAAAGCGUGGGGAGCAAACAGG
Molecule: ribosomal RNA, 253 nt
Filed under: uncultured bacterium
Lineage: Bacteria
Description: partial 16S ribosomal RNA
Rfam family: Bacterial small subunit ribosomal RNA
Source: RNAcentral